Carassius carassius (crucian carp) is the source of this 813-nucleotide long non-coding RNA. RefSeq lists it as uncharacterized. The record is from RefSeq and is a predicted model, not a curated record. Lineage: Eukaryota; Metazoa; Chordata; Actinopteri; Cypriniformes; Cyprinidae. The transcript is spliced from 2 exons.
ACUUCAGUCUCCUUACUAGCAGGGCAUUUGACAUACAUAAUUCCUUCAGAAAGUGUAAAAGUGUACUUUUAUUUACAAUAAAUAAUGCUGUAACACUGCUUUUUGGAGCUUAAUAAAUCUAUGUGGCUGGAAAAAAAAAUCAUAGGUGCGAUACUUCAAAGGAAGACACAUUGAUAACAGUUGUAUUGUUUAUUAAAACUGAAAGACAGUUUUUCUUCUACACUAAGUAGUAAGAAAAGAAUGUCAUGUACAAUGUUUUGAUGUACAAAAAUCACAUUAGUAAGAGCAAAUGAGAGCUCAAGAUCACAUACAGGAGAAAAGCACCGAAAACGCACACACAUACUGUGUCUUGUGUCAGCUGAUCAGUGGAAAGACUCGUCUGAAAAAACAAUGUCUUUCCAAACUUUUCAUAAUGCGAUCAUUUGAGGGCCAGACAUCUGACUAAUGUACAUCCACAUGCAUAUGCUGUAUAUAGAAAAAAAAUUCUUCAAAACGUGUUACGGUGGCAGAUUUUUGGUUUUUAGGACUACAGAACUUUUUCUGAUGAUGCUCGCGCUCACAGACAGUCAUAUUCACCAUACAACUCCCUCAAGACCACUUCAUUUUAUGCGCUUUCAAAAGAAUCAGAGAAAAAAUAGGAUUACUCUGUAUAUAUGUCCUUGUUUCUGGAAAAUGAUGUAUUAAUAAAUUAAUACAGUGGAAUUCAUCUGUGCUCUCUGUUGAUGGGUGUUUCUUCAACUUUGGCCACUUUUAUGCCUGAAAGGAUUAUGUUAAAUUUGUUAUAUGAUGGAUCACAUUAAAGCUAUCAUUGUC